This 523-nucleotide long non-coding RNA is filed under the name Naja naja (Indian cobra). Its description in RNAcentral is "lncRNA (ENSNNAG00000016949.1)". Lineage: Eukaryota; Metazoa; Chordata; Lepidosauria; Squamata; Elapidae. The record is from RNAcentral.
UCCCCUCCCUCCUCCCAGGGGGCGGAGCGAAGAGGAGGAGAAACAGGCAGGCUACUUUCGAAAGGUAGGAGCCGCGCGCUCACCGCCCAGGCCCGGCUAUUCCCGUCAGGGCUUUACGCGAGUGGCGUAGCGCGGGAUGGGUGGGGUGGAGGCCAAGGGAGGAAAGCGGCGCCUUUUCUUUUUUUUUACGACGGCGACGUUGCUUGGCGGCCGCACCAGGCAGCGCCCCCCAGCGAGGAGCGUAAGGCCCGGUGGCAGGUGGAGCAACAGGGAUUCUCCCCAAAAACAUAUGAAGACCUGUGGCCUUUAUAGGACAGAAGAGACCAAGAGGCUGCGAGUUGUAUUUGAAGGCGAGACAGACUCGGAGGAGCCACAUAAAGGGAGUGAUAACUAUCCGGCCACCCGCCGACCACGAGUGCCGACAACGGGCACCCCCGGGAAGAACCCUCUCCAGAGCAGAAUCCAACCAUGUCUAUCUGGCAUUUCAAACAGACCCCUGGAGAGAGUGUCCCGAGGGCCAUGA